This 253-nucleotide ribosomal RNA is filed under the name uncultured bacterium. Its description in RNAcentral is "partial 16S ribosomal RNA". It matches the Rfam family "Bacterial small subunit ribosomal RNA", at positions 524 to 776 of the family's 1533-position model. The record is from RNAcentral.
UACGUAGGGGGCUAGCGUUGUCCGGAAUCAUUGGGCGUAAAGCGCGUGUAGGCGGUCCGGUAAGUCCGCUGUGAAAGUCGGGGGCUCAACCCUCGAAUGCCGGUGGAUACUGUCGGGCUAGAGUGCGGAAGAGGCGAGUGGAAUUCCUGGUGUAGCGGUGAAAUGCGCAGAUAUCAGGAGGAACACCGAUGGCGAAGGCAGGUCUCUGGGCCAUUACUGACACUGAGAAGCGAAAGCAUGGGGAGCGAACAGG